Molecule: ribosomal RNA, 558 nt
Filed under: uncultured bacterium
Lineage: Bacteria
Description: bacterial SSU rRNA
Rfam family: Bacterial small subunit ribosomal RNA
Source: RNAcentral
CCUACGGGAGGCAGCAGUGGGGAAUCUUGCACAGUGGAGGAAACUCUGAUGCAGCGAUGCCGCGUGAGUGAAGAAGGCCUUUGGGUUGUAAAGCUCUUUUGUAGGGGAAGAUAAUGACUGUACCCUAAGAAUAAGGUCCGGCUAACUUCGUGCCAGCAGCCGCGGUAAUACGAAGGGACCUAGCGUAGUUCGGAAUUACUGGGCGUAAAGCGCGCGUAGGCCGUUGAGUUAGUUAAUUGUGAAAUCCCAAAGCUUAACUUUGGAACUGCAAUUAAAACUGCUCGACUAGAGUUUGAUAGAGGAAAGCGGAAUACAUAGUGUAGAGGUGAAAUUCGUAGAUAUUAUGUAGAACACCAGUUGCGAAGGCGGCUUUCUGGAUCAACACUGACGCUGAGGCGCGAAAGUAUGGGUAGCAAAGAGGAUUAGAUACCCUCGUAGUCCAUACCAUAAACGAUGAUUGCUAGAUGUUGGAAAUUUAUUUUCAGUAUCGCAGCUAACGCAUUAAGCAAUCCGCCUGGGGAGUACGACCGCAAGGUUAAAACUUAAAUGAAUUGACGG